ACAAGUAUAGCUCAGUUGGUAGAGUGUGAGGCUCUUAAUCUCAGGGUCGUGGGUUCGAGCAAAAGAUUCCUGCAUUGCA
This is a non-coding RNA of Podarcis lilfordi (Lilford's wall lizard), 79 nucleotides long. NCBI's taxonomy places the organism in Eukaryota, Metazoa, Chordata, Lepidosauria, Squamata, Lacertidae. The record is from the annotation of a GenBank genome assembly.